Molecule: ribosomal RNA, 429 nt
Filed under: Actinomycetes bacterium
Lineage: Bacteria; Bacillati; Actinomycetota; Actinomycetes
Also listed under: 1 other name
Description: Actinobacteria bacterium partial 16S ribosomal RNA
Rfam family: Bacterial small subunit ribosomal RNA
Source: RNAcentral
UAGGGAAUCUUCCGCAAUGGGCGAAAGCCUGACGGAGCAACGCCGCGUGAGUGAUGAAGGUCUUCGGAUCGUAAAACUCUGUUAUUAGGGAAGAACAAAUGUGUAAGUAACUAUGCACGUCUUGACGGUACCUAAUCAGAAAGCCACGGCUAACUACGUGCCAGCAGCCGCGGUAAUACGUAGGUGGCAAGCGUUAUCCGGAAUUAUUGGGCGUAAAGCGCGCGUAGGCGGUUUUUUAAGUCUGAUGUGAAAGCCCACGGCUCAACCGUGGAGGGUCAUUGGAAACUGGAAAACUUGAGUGCAGAAGAGGAAAGUGGAAUUCCAUGUGUAGCGGUGAGAUGCGCAGAGAUAUGGAGGAACACCAGUGGCGAAGGCGACUUUCUGGUCUGUAACUGACGCUGAUGUGCGAAAGCGUGGGGAUCAAACAGG